GUGGGGAAUUUUGGACAAUGGGCGCAAGCCUGAUCCAGCAAUGCCGCGUGCAGGAAGAAGGCCUUCGGGUUGUAAACUGCUUUUGUACGGAACGAAAAGGCUCUGGUUAAUACCUGGGGCUCAUGACGGUACCGUAAGAAUAAGCACCGGCUAACUACGUGCCAGCAGCCGCGGUAAUACGUAGGGUGCAAGCGUUAAUCGGAAUUACUGGGCGUAAAGCGUGCGCAGGCGGUUUUGUAAGACAGGCGUGAAAUCCCCGGGCUCAACCUGGGAAUGGCGCUUGUGACUGCAAGGCUGGAGUGCGGCAGAGGGGGAUGGAAUUCCGCGUGUAGCAGUGAAAUGCGUAGAUAUGCGGAGGAACACCGAUGGCGAAGGCAAUCCCCUGGGCCUGCACUGACGCUCAUGCACGAAAGCGUGGGGAGCAAACAGGAUUAGAUACCCCAGUAGUCC
RNAcentral lists this ribosomal RNA (450 nucleotides) under uncultured bacterium. RNAcentral describes it as "partial 16S ribosomal RNA". It matches the Rfam family "Bacterial small subunit ribosomal RNA", at positions 354 to 796 of the family's 1533-position model. The record is from RNAcentral.